Molecule: long non-coding RNA, 1640 nt
Organism: Megalobrama amblycephala (Wuchang bream)
Lineage: Eukaryota; Metazoa; Chordata; Actinopteri; Cypriniformes; Xenocyprididae
Exons: 4
Source: RefSeq, a predicted model, not a curated record
CCCGCUAAACGAUGGCCCGCCGUAGGUCUUCAUAGACCAGGAGGUUCGGGACGGGGAGCUGCUGUGCCGCCACCUGUGCUUCUCCUGAGAGGAGCGGGACCAGCCUCAUCGACCACUGGUCCCGCGGCCAUUUACACGCCUCCGCGGAUCUCUCGAAGAGGUCUAAGAAAACUUCUGGAUCAUCCAAUGGGCCCAUCUUAUUUAAGGGCAGGUGGACAGGCACAGCGGGCUGUUCGGUGGGCUCCCGGGGAACCUCCCGGUCAAUCCAGCUCCGGAACGCCUCGUGGUCCUCCUGCUGGGUCUGCAGAAUGGCUUGGAAACACCGCUCCUGGUCACCUCUUAACUCCAGCAGGGCCUGUUGUUGUUCGCGGUGCAGGACCGCGAGGGACGCGAUGAUGUCCGCAAAUGUGGCGGAGGACGAAGAUUGCAUGGCGACGUGCUCCCGUCUUCCUUCCCGGGUUUCGGCACCAGCACUGUAAAAAAUUACUCUUGAGGGUGUUAAAUACAACCCAUGAAAAUCAGUUAUAGUUUACUUAAGUAUAUGAGUUAGCAAGUAAAAUAAAAAAUAAUGGGUACAUUCUACCUCCACUAUCUAUUUCUUAUCAGUAUUAACUGCAAGACUAAAAAAUUAAGUAAAAUUUACCCCUAAAUAUUAGCUUUGGCACCGCAAAUUGCGCAUGCGUCAACAUCCAGGCGGGAAUCACGGGAGUCACCAUUUUCCAUGUCUUUGGCGCUGGCGGAACAUUGAUUGGUGAACCUACAGGUACGUUUUUAUUUAACUUGUUGAUAUCAUCAUGAAUGCAAAUGUUAAGUUGUUUAACGUUAAAAUCUACCAGAAGAAUAGUCAUUUCUCUGUCUCUAUUGUCGCACCACAGUCUGGUGACAGAUUGACAUGUUAUAAUUUGUUGUUAACGUUAGUCAAGUUAACAUUGGAAGCGGAAUACAUUGUCCAGUAACGUUACUUGCCCCUGCGAAUGCGAGUAAACAUCUACGUUAAUGAUUUAAAUAUAGCUUCCAUUAUUGUAAUGUACAUGGCUGAAAUUCGUGCACAGCGAAGCUGUUACAUGUGAGUUGAACUUGAGCAAGUGACGAAAGAGAAAUGGACGGUUGAUGUAGUUAGCCUACUAUACAGACGACAAGGCGUUCGGAGCAGAAAAAUAGCAGUAAAGCUGUCGAUGUGAUGAAUCUAGAAGAAGAAUUAAAGAAUUCAUAGCAGUUAUCAAGACAAGUUAACUUCAGGUGGCCUGGAUUGUUCAGUAGGCUCAGAUCAAAGAGGAAUUCUGACGUAUAACAACAGGCUCCUUGGAGGAGACAUUUAUGAUGAAUCUUGAUGGGUGCACACCACGUCUUUCUGCAGUUGAUGCAUGCCAAAGGAGGAGUAUUUGGUACCAAGAUGCAUCCUCUCCUGAGCACUGUAAAUGAGAAGGAUGAACUUGAAGGCCACACAAAUGAAAUAAUGAAGUUGGUGGUUGUUCACAAUCCCGCAGUUGAGGAGGACCCACCAGAUGUGGAAUGAGCUGUCUGUACUUUUUUGCACUUAAAGGGUUAGUUCACCCAAAAAUGAAAAUAAUGUCAUUUAUUACUUACCCUCAUGCCGUUCCACACCCGUAAGACCUUCGUUAAUCUUCAGAACACUAAUU